CCAGCAGUUCAUACUUUACUUGCAUAUCUGGCAGUGGCCCAACCCACAGGCACCCAUGCUCCCAUGCUGUGUUCCUCCGCAAAGUAGCACCCAGUUUCGGUUGAUAGUGCUCUCAAUCUUGAACUUCCAGGGACAAACCAGUUCCAGUGGCUAGUGAGAACGUUUAUCUUGGGCAGACUUGAUGUCCCAUUUACAAUUGAGGGUUUUUAAAUAUUCAUGUUUUCUUAUACUGUCUAUUCAAAAUAAUUGCACAUUGCCAUUUUUACAACAGAGUGCAGAGAGAGAUCCAAGCUGUUUGUUUCUCAGCUGGAAGGGAUGAAAAACAUGGAGAUGUGUCUUCCUGAAAAUUCAUCAUCAUCAAGAUAUGGAUUGGAGAAUAGUUAAAUCUAGACUUACUGAGGAGGCACAGAACAUAUAGUUUCUCUUAAGUGUGUCUUAAAAUGAAAUUGUGGUUUUAUUUGUUGGCUUUAAGUAUAAUUGCUGCUUGAAGCAGUGCUAUUUAAAAUGUUUAAAAAUGUAUCUAUAACUAUUUCCUCCUUUAUGGCAUGGAAGUGGUUUAUUGAGAGAAUUUGCCCAGUGCAAUCACCAGCUGUGGUUCCAUGUUUAAUGUUUAGUCCGUCGGUCAGUACCGGAAAAUAAAUCCUGACGGGACCCUGAUACUGACCGGCGGACUAUAUAUUAUCACGCUUAUUAUACAGUUACUUGCCAACAAGAUAGAAGACAUUCCUCCAAAAUACCUCUUUUUAAUGAUUUUGUUGCCGUCUCGUGACUUCCGCUUUCAAUACAUUUCCGUUACGUUAGGUGGACGGACUACUUGCGGAAUGGUAUGAAAGAUGUGAAUUAGAAGCACAAAACCCUUUGCCAAUGGCAGCGUCGCCCAUUCAAACCAAUGGAACUGUUUGCAACAUUCUGAGGAGCCGUAUAAUAAAGAGGUGAUAAGCAUGCUGAUAGGAUGUUGAAAGAAGGCUGGAGUUAGUGAUACAGAGGAAGAGAUAAGUGUAUAUGAGGAAGGGGGACACACAUAGUAUGUUAGCAUUUGUAUGGAAAUGUCACAUGAUUUACCCAUGGAUUGUAUUUCUAAGCGAAACAAAAAAAUGACAUUAUCUUUAACAACCACUAUAAUGAAUGCAUGUUUAAGCAUAAAGAAUAAAAUAUUGAUAGAGUAUGGAGUCCCAGAGAAUCAUGUCAGACCAUUCAUGUUUUUGACAGUACAAGGCAUAGAAAAAAAUAAUUCUUUCACACUUCUGAAAGGACAUUUUUCAGCUUUUUAAUAUUUUGUACGAUCAUAAUUGCUUGUCAGUUACAGAUGUCAUCUUUCUUUGCCAAAUUCAGCGUAGAGAUGCAGAGCUCAGUUUCUGGAAGACAUGACAUUGUGAAAAAAAACAAGACUGAAAUAAAACCUUUAUUUCAACCAAUCAGCGUCAGCAUCAAAAUUCACUGUGCAAAUCUGGUAUUGCAGUGUUUUUUCUUUUAUACCCAACCCUGAAUGGUAACCUUUCCUUUACGUGGAACUCAGUGACAAAACUAUGGGAACGAUAAUAGAGGAACAGUCAUCAGUAUUCUAUCUGCAUUGCACUGUGUCAAGAGGAGUUUCCUUUCCAUUUUUGUACAUGGACAGGGGUCCACAUUUAUAAAAAAUGCUCUUUUGGCAUUUGCAUUUCUUUGUGUAAGCUUCAUACAUGCUCCUUCUCUGCCAUUUCUCAACUUCGCCUGUGUGAUGUUUAGGGUCUGCCAAGCCUGUCAUUGUCUCGAGUCGUACAUUUUUAAUGUGAUCUCGCCUUGCCAUCAAAGAUCUGCUAAGCCCUUCAUGUUCUG
This is a long non-coding RNA of Clupea harengus (Atlantic herring), 1815 nucleotides long. The record is from Ensembl. NCBI's taxonomy places the organism in Eukaryota, Metazoa, Chordata, Actinopteri, Clupeiformes, Clupeidae.